This 253-nucleotide ribosomal RNA is filed under the name uncultured bacterium. RNAcentral's name for it is "partial 16S ribosomal RNA". It matches the Rfam family "Bacterial small subunit ribosomal RNA", at positions 524 to 776 of the family's 1533-position model. The record is from RNAcentral.
GACGAACCGUGCGAACGUUGUUCGGAUUCACUGGGCUUAAAGGGCGCGUAGGCGGGCGGUCAAGUCGGGGGUGAAAUCUUUCCGCUUAACGGGAAGCGUGCCUCCGAUACUGAUCGCCUCGAGGGAGGUAGGGGCAUGUGGAACUUCCGGUGGAGCGGUGAAAUGCGUAGAUAUCGGAAGGAACGCCGGUGGCGAAAGCGACGUGCUGGACCUCUUCUGACGCUGAGGCGCGAAAGCUAGGGGAGCAAACGGG